CCCGACUUCCCAUCUCCUCCGCCACGACGAAGAUUUGCCGCAUCCCGACUUCCCGUCUCCGCCACCGACGAUAUCUUCGUGUACCAGGAAUCACCGCCAUCUUCUUGCUAAUCUAAUUUUUUAUAAUUGGCAUUUUCUGUUUAGAGACUUGGAAAAAGUAAGCUAUCGGAAUGAAGGGAGGGAUGAAGUAAUUGGAGGAAAGAAUGGCCGAUGAUUACGGAUCCACGGAGCGGUGGACGCUGCGGUCGCUGUUGGGCGCCUUCCUGGACCUGGCAAUCGCCUACAUCUUCCUCUGCGCCGCCGCCGUCGCCUUCGCCGCCUCCAAAUUCUUCUCCUUCUUCGGCGUCAGCCUCUCCGCCUCCUCC
This 365-nucleotide long non-coding RNA is filed under the name Ananas comosus (pineapple). RNAcentral describes it as "long non-coding RNA (ACOM_LNC030337)". The record is from RNAcentral. Lineage: Eukaryota; Viridiplantae; Streptophyta; Magnoliopsida; Poales; Bromeliaceae.